Molecule: ribosomal RNA, 383 nt
Filed under: Apatococcus sp.
Lineage: Eukaryota; Viridiplantae; Chlorophyta; Trebouxiophyceae; Chlorellales; Chlorellaceae
Description: partial small subunit ribosomal RNA
Rfam family: Eukaryotic small subunit ribosomal RNA
Source: RNAcentral
AGCUCCAAUAGCGUAUAUUUAAGUUGCUGCAGUUAAAAAGCUCGUAGUUGGAUUUCGGGCGGGUGCUGCCGGUCCGCCCUUUGGGUGUGCACCGGUUGCGCCCGUCCUGCUGCCGGGGACGGGUGCCUGGGCUUCGCUGUCCGGGCCCCGGAGUCGGCGAGGUUACUUUGAGUAAAUUAGAGUGUUCAAAGCAGGCCUACGCUCUGAAUACAUUAGCAUGGAAUAACACGAUAGGACUCUGGCCUAUCUUGUUGGUCUGUAGGACCGGAGUAAUGAUUAAGAGGGACAGUCGGGGGCAUUCGUAUUUCAUUGUCAGAGGUGAAAUUCUUGGAUUUAUGAAAGACGAACUACUGCGAAAGCAUUUGCCAAGGAUGUUUUCAUUA